Molecule: long non-coding RNA, 619 nt
Filed under: Selaginella moellendorffii
Lineage: Eukaryota; Viridiplantae; Streptophyta; Lycopodiopsida; Selaginellales; Selaginellaceae
Description: long non-coding RNA (SMOE_LNC000528)
Source: RNAcentral
GUUUUCGCACAAAUUCUCGCGUCUUGGACAUGUGCCACUGCCGUGUGGGUCCUCGUCCUCAUUUCGCAGCAAAGCAGCGCAUGUUCGUCCCGCAACCAACACCACGCUUUGACGAUGCGCUUUCAUCCAUUGGCUCGGGUCUCUUAGAUCCAACGCGAGAAUAUGGUGUACUAAUGGCAAGCUGUUCUUCUCUUUUCUUUUCCAAUGGCAAGCUAUUUUCGUCUCUCUUUCAGUACUCGAUCUUUCACUGGAGUAACUUUUUUCCGCGUUUCGCCUCGACAUGGAAUGAUUAAGAAGACUUGGUGAGCUCUUCAGUUUUUUAUUUUAUUUUGUUCGAUCUGUUUCCAGAUUUUUGAGCUUCCAACGUGAUCUUUCCCUGGAAUAUCUUAUGCUGCCAGAUGUUCCCAAAGGUUAUUUUUUCUUGUUUCCGGUCACAAGCACCGAAGCAAAGCAUCAUUUGUUUUUUCUUGCUUGCCAGCUACAAAGGCGCAGCAACAGUGACACGGAGAAGUAAAGCUGCGCUAUCGUGUGCUCCAGCCAGGACUAAGAUCCAAAACUUUUAUACUUUAUAAUCGAAAUAGACGCAAAUAGACAUCAAAGAUUGGAAAUAUAAGUUGCA